UAGAUCCUGGAGACCUAUUUUUGGCUC
Molecule: non-coding RNA, 27 nt
Filed under: Mus musculus (house mouse)
Lineage: Eukaryota; Metazoa; Chordata; Mammalia; Rodentia; Muridae
Source: RNAcentral